ACGCAGAUCUCUAGCGCCCACUAUUUCAAAAGCCAGGAAUAUUAUUUCACAAGACUUGGAACGACUCAAAAAAAAAAAAAAGUUGCUAUCCCCUUUCGUCAACUUUGCAGCUAACUUUCGCUUCUCUCCCCCCCCCCUUUAUUGGCCGUCUCCGCUCUCCUCCAGCUCCUCCGGGGUGAACCCCACCAAGGCGCUUGUGGGGUGCACGAGAGACCCCCAGCCCGCAAGAAACUGCCACCGCCGCUCUGCUGAGCCCAGUGCGCCUCCGCGCUGAGCCGCUCGCACACACACAAAAAAGGGGUGGACAGCAGGGCUCUCGCAUCUAUUCCGCUCCAGGACUGAGAACGGGCACGAAAAGGGGGCUCCCGCCCCGCCGCGGCACCCACCGCCCAGCCCUCCGGCGGCACAGAUCCGGCGGGACCCGGGAGGGGACCCUGGAAGCGGAAGAAGGGGAAGAAAGGACCUACUUUUGGGUAGUUUUCUCGCCCUCGCCUUGGAUCUCAUCUUGUCGGCUUGUGGAUUCUUCUCCUCCUCCUUGAGCCCAGAAGCAGCUACACACUAUCUUCAUCUCCCGAGCAUUGUCAGUUUGGACACCUUCGCACAUGCGCACAGAGCAUUCAAUCUGACACCCUCGCCAGGGCCAAAAAAACUUUCCAAUGUAUUCAUCACCAUCAGGGGUUUUUUUUCGGUCCUAUCCUCUUCUUCAGAUCACUUAUCUCGCCCCCCCCCCCCCAGCACCAUCACAGCCGUUCCCUGAUCUGCCCCUUUAAGAAAAAUCAACCCACUCUCAGCCUAACCCUUCGCACACUGACCUUACACACUGGACAAUAUUUAAGGAUCAAGGUACCAUCCUAUAAAGAGGUACCAAAGCAGAAUCAUUUUCUGGAUGCCAGAUAAUAAUAGCGAUCGCCUCCUUGGGAAUAUUAAAAAUACUGCUAGACAUUGGAGUUGUCCGUGAUCCCCGGAAGUGGAGGCACAGACAGAUCAGACAGACCCUCUUUGAAGAAAGGAGCGAAGUGUAAAUAGCUGGGUGAUGGAUGUGCUGUCUUUGACUGCGGAGAAAGCACUAUUUUAAUUCAAGUGGCCAGGUCAGAUGGUCACGGAAGAAGGUUGAAAGUGUGCUUUCUUGAUUCGGACAGAGGGGAGUACCUAUAACUGAACCAGAAUCCCCGCUGUUUUUCCCAGGGUCCCCUUUUACAAAAUUUGUUUUAGAUCAAACACAUCUUUUGAUUGUCUUGUUCUUUAAAAAAAUCCAAACAAAUCGAGGAGUGAGCUCCGUUUACACUGCGCUCCUGCUAGGUUCUAAUGAAUGUGGUUCGAUUCGAUGCGCCGGGAAGACAGCCGGCUAACAUCCUGGUGGUGUAUGCUAUUACACACCUUUUCCCCAGCCCCACACAUCCCUGGUUUAUACGCCCGCACAGCGCAAAGGGUGUUUUGCUAUAUUUCAGACUUGACCUCCCAGGGGGAAGAAAUGGGACCGAAGACCAAAUGCUGGUGCUCAGCAAAUCCCAAACACCCAAGAUGAAACCUCUAGCCAUCCUCAAGUACCGAUUCUGCGGCUCCUUGUCAAAAGCCCGACGUCGCUGGCCGGAGCAGAUUUGCGACCUACUAGCCGGAUCACAGCUGCCCAGAGUCAGUUUCUCUGAAGACACGUGGAAAAGAGGAGGACUCGCCGGCGUUGCGUUUAGUUUCCCGCACUGUUUGCCUGUGGAGAACAAGGGAGCGAAUCCCCCCCGAGAAGGCGAAGCACAGAACCUGAAGGGUGUGUGGGGAGAGGGGCGGGGGCGAAGGGGGAGUUCGCUCCAGUGUUCCUAAUUAAUUCGGAUUAACAACGAUUCCCAGUAAAAAAAACGUUGGCUUCAAAGUCGGAGAGCCAGGAGGACGUAAUGAGGAGCCCGCGCCAUGGAUCGUGUGUAAAUUGUCCCCUUCCUUUCUUCGCAGUAUAAAUAAAGCGGGGCCAGUGGAUGAAGACAGAAGGCGGCAACCUUCUUUCGCCCUAUAUUGAUACUCGGCUACCGCAAUUAACAUUGCUGCAUAUGGAGUGAGUCUCCCCCCCCCCCCAUGUGUACAUGCCUGGUUCCCCCCCCCCCCAUGCUAAUAAUGGCUGCAGCGGAGUUAGCUGUAUAAUUAUUAGCCAUUAAUUGAGUUCAGGACCUUUUAUGGCGGUGGGAAAUGAGCAGCCUGACCAUUCAUUCCAGUGCGGGUCUGCACACUGCCAGGAGCUAUGAAAAGUCAUCCCUGGCUGGCUGGGCCCCGCCUGACAACCCCCCAGAGGGGGAGAAAGACCUUGGCGGGGGCGGGGGCGGGGGGGAUCAGGAGGUGAAAAUGACAGGCCCUGGAACCGGAGCGGACGGAUCCUUUCGGAACUUUGGGGUGCGCAGGGACCGGGCGAGGCAGCUGACUGGAACAGCUUGUCUGGAGGCAAGAAAAGCAACACAAGAAAGUUAAAUGAAAUGAAGCGCACAUUAAGCGAAAGGCUAUGCAGGCGCACAGACUCGCCCUGAGCUGGGGGGCGGGGGGGGGGUUGUUUUCCAGUUAGUGGGCUGAGGAAUGUAGCUCCGACUAGGAGAGAGGCUGAGCCCAUAUUUCUGGGGACACCCCCCCCCUCCGUUCAUUUGAGGAUACUGAUAACCCCAGGGCUGGCUCAAGCACCGGGGAAAGUGAAAGGCAAAGGGAUAAUGUUCGGGUUGGAAUCUCACUUUGCAAAAAUUGCAUCUACGAUUACCCCGACCCCCGCGCUCCGGGAAACCUGUUCCACAUUUAAACUAACUUGCAAGUUUCAGAUUUGCGCCAGGAUCUGCAAAAAAUAAAAUACCCCCCCACCCAACACAUACACACAAAACCCCACAGAAGUCACUCAAAAUGGGUCCAUGCGCCCCUUGCAAGAAUCAAUCCGAAUUAUAUUGUUACAGAAACUGCGGCUGCCUUCGCUGCGGGAAGAGCAGUUGCCUUCUGGAGCGGGAACGGAGCCUGGCUCCCAGCGCGCGGCUGCAUUAGCCUGUAGGGCACCGAGCAGCCCCCAGAACAGUGGCAUUAUUCGGGGAGACCCUCCGAGGGGAAGCCAGACACGGAUGAAAGUCCGUUUGAGCUCCGGGGGGCAGCAGGGCGGGCUAAUGGAAGCCGAGCCGCAGCGAGCUCCAUGUCGCAGUCUAGCACCAGGUGUAGCAAAGAACAGCCCCCCAAAGCAGCAACCCCCCGCCCGCCCAGGAAAGCAGCUGGCGGGGUGAUUCCAGCUCAGGAGGUUCAGAUGCGGGAGGUUCUGCCUUUUGGUUUCCUACCUAAAGAAACCGACACUGACCCUGAAAAGGUGACAGAGAUGCUGCUGUCCCCCCGGGUCUGUCUACAGCCCUGGAAUGUGCAGGCAGGAGUGGCCCGUCUCACCCAGGGAGGGUAAGGGCAGCUCGUGUAACUCCCGUGUCACUGGACUCCCUAGAGACGCUACAGGGCUGAGCAUUUACAGGUGGACGGGUCCGGUCUCUAACGCGCAGGGGGGUCCGCACUUUAUCCCCGGAAACAGGGGAUGAAGACAAGAUCCGCAUUGCCCCAAACGUUCAGGUUUGCGUGGUUGAAUGGGGAGACCGAGAACACACACCCAGCACGAAUCCAUAUUGCAGAACGUGGGAGCGACUCCCCUAGAUUCACUUUGUUACGUAGCCUUAACUUCACGUUGCCACCUUCCAAUUAAAGUUGACCAAAAUUCCCCCACAGCCUUAUUUGCAUGCAAGGGACUCAGUUCAAAGAUGCUAACGUAUUGUCUCCUCUUAGAACUUAACAUUUCCCGCUUCAGUUCUCACUUGAAAGAAGUUUCAGAACAGUAUUCACAGACUGUCCAAACGAACAAAACCUUCCCCUUUGCUAGGAAGAGAAAUCCGGUGUAUUCAAUCAAGGGGAGGGGGGGCAUAUUCUCAGAAGUCUGCAGAUUUUUUAAAAGGCUGCAUUGUUCUUGCCUUUUCCUGAAAACUGAUUUUUAAAGCACAAACUCGCACGCCUGCAAAAAAGGAUAAAAAUAAACCCUCACCGAUUUCUUUUUGCACAGUUUAGACUCUUAGAAUUACUUUUCUGCAAGAGCUUUCCAAGCACAGCCUUUCCGGAGACAUAAUGAUCAACUUUAAAAUAAAUCAAGCAAACAAGGUGGGGGAAAAAAGACCCAGGACUUUCCCAAAUGCUCCUUUCUUUGAUUUUCAUUAUUUCAAC
Molecule: long non-coding RNA, 4194 nt
Organism: Mauremys mutica (yellowpond turtle)
Lineage: Eukaryota; Metazoa; Chordata; Testudines; Geoemydidae
Exons: 4
Source: RefSeq, a predicted model, not a curated record